This 253-nucleotide ribosomal RNA is filed under the name uncultured bacterium. RNAcentral describes it as "partial 16S ribosomal RNA". It matches the Rfam family "Bacterial small subunit ribosomal RNA", at positions 524 to 776 of the family's 1533-position model. The record is from RNAcentral.
UACGUAGGGUGCAAGCGUUGUCCGGAAUUAUUGGGCGUAAAGCGCACGUAGGCGGACUAUUAAGUCAGGGGUGAAAUCCCGGGGCUCAACCCCGGAACUGCCUUUGAUACUGGUAGUCUCGAGUCCGGAAGAGGUGAGUGGAAUUCCGAGUGUAGAGGUGAAAUUCGUAGAUAUUCGGAGGAACACCAGUGGCGAAGGCGGCUCACUGGUCCGGUACUGACGCUGAGGUGCGAAAGCGUGGGGAGCAAACAGG